Molecule: ribosomal RNA, 601 nt
Filed under: Phlegmacium variosimile
Lineage: Eukaryota; Fungi; Basidiomycota; Agaricomycetes; Agaricales; Cortinariaceae
Description: eukaryotic LSU rRNA
Rfam family: Eukaryotic large subunit ribosomal RNA
Source: RNAcentral
GUGACCUCAAAUCAGGUAGGACUACCCGCUGAACUUAAGCAUAUCAAUAAGCGGAGGAAAAGAAACUAACAAGGAUUCCCCUAGUAACUGCGAGUGAAGCGGGAAAAGCUCAAAUUUAAAAUCUGUCAGUCUUUGGCUGUCCGAGUUGUAAUCUAGAGAAGUGUUAUCCGCGCUGGACCGUGUACAAGUCUCCUGGAAUGGAGCGUCAUAGAGGGUGAGAAUCCCGUCUUUGACACGGACUGCCAGGGCUUUGUGAUACGCUCUCAAAGAGUCGAGUUGUUUGGGAAUGCAGCUCAAAAUGGGUGGUAAAUUCCAUCUAAAGCUAAAUAUUGGCGAGAGACCGAUAGCGAACAAGUACCGUGAGGGAAAGAUGAAAAGAACUUUGGAAAGAGAGUUAAACAGUACGUGAAAUUGCUGAAAGGGAAACGCUUGAAGUCAGUCGCGUUGUCCAGGGAUCAGCCUUGCUUUUGCUUGGUGUACUUUCUGGUUGACGGGUCAGCAUCAAUUUUGACUGUUGGAAAAAGGUCGGGGGAAUGUGGCAUCUUCGGAUGUGUUAUAGCCCUUGGUUGCAUACAAUGGUUGGGAUUGAGGAACUCAGCAC